CAAGUCGCACGAGAAAGUGGAGCAAUCCAUGAGUACAGUGGCGCACGGGUGAGUAACACGUGAAUUAUCUACCUCCGAGUGGGGAAUAACUUAGGGAAACCUGAGCUAAUACCGCAUAACACUUACGAGUCAAAGCAGCAAUGCGCUUGGAGAGGAGUUCGCGGCAGAUUAGUUAGUUGGCAGGGUAAUGGCCUACCAAGACGAUGAUCUGUAUCCGGCCUGAGAGGGCGCACGGACACACUGGAACUGAAACACGGUCCAGACUCCUACGGGAGGCAGCAGUGGGGAAUUUUGCGCAAUGGGGGAAACCCUGACGCAGCAACGCCGCGUGGAGGAUGAAAUCCCUUGGGAUGUAAACUCCUUUCGAUUGGGAAGAUUAUGACGGUACCAAUAGAAGAAGCCCCGGCUAACUUCGUGCCAGCAGCCGCGGUAAUACGAGGGGGGCAAGCGUUGUUCGGAAUUAUUGGGCGUAAAGGGCGCGUAGGCGGUUUGACAAGUCUGAUGUGAAAUCUAUGGGCUCAACCCAUAGCCUGCAUUAGAAACUGUCGGGCUUGAGUAUGGGAGAGGUGAAGUGGAAUUUCCGGUGUAGCGGUGAAAUGCGUAGAUAUCGGAAGGAACACCUGUGGCGAAAGCGGCUCACUGGACCAUAACUGACGCUGAGGCGCGAAAGCUAGGGGAGCAAACAGGAUUAGAUACCCUGGUAGUCCUAGCCCUAAACGAUGAUUGCUUGAUGUGGCAGGUACCCAAUCCUGCCGUGUCGAAGCUAACGCGAUAAGCAAUCCGCCUGGGGAGUACGGUCGCAAGGCUGAAACUCAAAGGAAUU
RNAcentral lists this ribosomal RNA (823 nucleotides) under uncultured Acidobacteriota bacterium. Its description in RNAcentral is "bacterial SSU rRNA". It matches the Rfam family "Bacterial small subunit ribosomal RNA", at positions 58 to 911 of the family's 1533-position model. The record is from RNAcentral. Lineage: Bacteria; Pseudomonadati; Acidobacteriota.